ACCUUUAAACGGUAGGCUUAAAGCACCCUUUCACGUGUUAAUGAAUGUAAUUUGGAGUUGGUAGGCCAAUGGCACCUCUCAUAUGUGAUAAUGUCAAGGUAACCAACUAUUCUAUGGUAAUGUAGGCUAAGAACCGAGUGGAUUUGGUUAGAUGGAAACUCCCCCAAUAGUUAGGCAUGAGUUUCAAUGAUCGUCUACCUUAUCCCAUAAACUAUGUGCCGGCAUAGGUAGCUAGUGGAUCCAUUAAGCUAUAUAUUCAGGUCUUCCUUAGGCAAGUAGACCACUUUUUUACGGUGUGGGGACUUAUGACACCGGAUUCCAUGACAAGCUCUCAUGGUCUAUGUCGAUUAAACGCUUACUUCCCAUCAUGUGAGAUUUCACUAUGGUUUCUUGAUAGGUUCUACAAAGUGUAGGUAGUAGUAUGGGAUGCUACCUAUACAUUGCACGAGUAGGCUUGGAGAGGGUCAUAGUGAGUUUCUCUAAAUCCUAAUGUAUGUGACAUAAAUGUGCCCUAAAUGAGGUUAUGAAAGAAUGUUGGCUCUCAAAUGCUUAAUAUGAGAUGCAUGCUAUACUUGGGUUAUAUUAUGAGUUAUUUUCCCUUGUCAUGUCUUAAUUAAUGAUAUACCUCUUAUGUAUGAAUAUUCUGGAAAGGUGAAAGAAAGGAAUGAUAAGUUACUUUAAGUGACAAAAAUGUGGUGCCUGAGUAAGGAUGGUGGUAUGUGACGCCAUCCAUACAUUGCACGAGGAAUAGCAUAAGGGUUUCUUGAGGUGAAGGUCUAAGGUAAAGGUUUUCAUGUUGAUAUUGUUUAAAGGUGAUAUUAUGACUUACUUGAUGUUUAUCCUUGUCUUGUAUGUCUUUUAUGCAACUGUUCAUGAUAUUUCAAAAAGUGGCAUAAUGAAUGGUUUCUAGCCAAAAUGUCCAUUUUAAAGCAAGUUUUGCAUGGUCAUCAUACUUGGUACAUUUUGUGUACUAACCCAUAUUCUUCAUGUUUUUACUAUAAGUGUAGCUUCCGGCAAGUGAUCCCUCCUAGCUAGUUUGAAGUGUUGGAUUGCUUUCCUCCAAGACUUGGUAUGUCCUCAUGGAUUCGAGGAUAAGACUUUUAAGUUCUUUUGAUCAUGUAAUAGACACUUUUAGUUUUGUUUCGAUUGUAAAGGGUCGUGUCCCUACUUAUGUUUUGUGAUUGUGUCUAAGAUGGCCAUGUGAGACGUAGACUUUCGCUGUGUGUUUUUAAAGUUGUUUUAAUGAAGUAUGAAUGAUGUGGAUGUAAAUAAGUUUUUCAUUCCGCACUAUUAUCAUUAUUGAAUGCAAUGAAUGACUAUGUGGUUUGUAUAAGACCCCUUUGGGGUCGGGUACGCCUUGUUACCACUUGGGGGUCCUCCCGGGUCGUGACAAACAUGGUAUCAGAGCAUAAGAUUUUGGAAAUGGUUUUUAGGAUCAAAUUCUCACAAACCAUGUCUAGUAGAGUAUUGUUCAUCGGUGUGGGUCGCGACACAUCUAUUAGCGAGAGGCUAUAGGACGUUAGAAGUUACACUUCUUUCAUAUUCUUAAAGUCGUGCCUUAGAGUGUGGUUCUAUAAGUGUUCUUAUCCUAAUCCUGCUCUUGUGUUUAUAGGAUAUGAAUACAAGAGGGAGACCCGCAAGGGGAGUAGCAGAAGAGGAUGUGAAUGAGGAAGUUCCUCCCCAAGGUCCUCAAGACGUCCAAGUUCCGAUAGGAGUUCCGGAUAUGACCAAUGAGGAUAUUAGGUCGGCUUUCUUAAUCUUGGCCAGAGCCAUGGCGGCUCAAGCGACUAGAGAUACAAGGCCUAGGGUGAAUGCUAAUUAGGGUACUAUGGCUUCGAAGUUGAGAGACUUUGUGAGGAUGAAUCCUCCGGUGUUUCAGGUUCUAAGGUGGGAGAGGAGUCAUACGGCAAUGCUCCAUAAUGACAUGAACAUUUCUAGGCUCAUAGUGUAUGCUCAAUCCAUUGAGGAGUCCAAACUUAAGAGGAUGAAUAGGGGUGUGAAGAGGGGUUGAUCGGAUGAGCAAGGUCAACCUAGGUUCAAGAAGAGGAGUCAAGACCAAGACUCUUCAAGUGCUCCUAAGGUUAACCAAGAAAAAAAUGGUGGAAUCUCAAUUUUCUAAACCUACUUGCAUCUCUUGUGGCAAGAGGCACUAUGGGAAGUGCCUAGCCGGUACUAAUGGGUGUUAUGGUUGUGGGAAGAAUGAUCACAAGGUCAAAGAUUGUCCUACUCUUACAGCUAGAGGAAGGGAAGCCAAGCAAGCUUCUAAAGAUGGAACGGUUCCUAUCCCUCCAUAUUAUGGUCGUUUCUAUGCUCUCCAAGCUAACAAGCACAAAGAAGCUAAUCCGAAUAAAGGCGCCGGUAAGUUUUAGUUCCUUAUGGUCAUGAAUAUCUUGAUGAGGUUUCUAUGUUGUUGUUUUUCAUGUUUGCCUUAGUUGGGUUUUCUCCUAAUUUGGGGAUGUUAUGUCGAAUAGCAAGGUUGUUGAGAGUGUUGAUAUCAUUAUCUCAUUCCUUCUAUUAUUACUCAAUCUUGAGACCAAGAGUUCCUAGUAACUUGUUUUAUGUUUUGGAGUCUUGUGUGAAAAUGAGUUUCCAUGGUCUCCUUAUGUUAUGCAUGCUAUAUUUGAAUUCCUGUUAAAUGAUAAAAUGAGUUUUCAUAAAUGUGUUCCUCAUGUUGAUGUGCAUUUAGUUGAGUUGUCUAUAUGCUUCAUGAGAAUAAAUGUUGAACAUACCUAAAUAUGCUUUAGUGAAAAUUUCCCUAAUUGUGCUUUUGCAAGUAAUUGCAUAAUGAGCUUAAUGUUUUGUAGUGAGCAUGAAGUGAUUGGAGAAGGAAGUUUCUCCAAUAAAAAAAAAGAGAAAGGGGAAGUUUUGAUGCACAAUAAGUUUGUGGAUGUAGUUCCUACUUGGUUGAUUGGUAUGAAGUUUGUUCGAGCCUCUUGAUGUGGAGUUGAUGUUUCCUCCUAUGUUUAUACAUUUAUGUUGACAUGUUACGUUUGUUGGGCUGCUAGUCUUGAGUUGUUUUUCCCUUAAUGUGUUUAAAGUGUCAUUCGAGGACGAAUGUUCCUAAGUAGGUGAUAAUGUAACAACUCGGAAAAUGAUAGACUGAACUUGAGCCUUGACGUUUGGGUUAGUGUGAGCUUAGGUUGAUGUUUAUGCUGUUUUAGAACUUAAAUAGAGCUAAGUAGCAUCCUAGGGUGCAAGCAAAGGCCUAGGCUAGCAAGUUAGCCUAGUGGACUGCCCAGUUGACCAGCCUUUGAGUAAUCCCACUGGAACAGACGGGCAAGGGGCAGAUAUUUAAAUUUACGACUUUCAGGGUCAACGUCAAAUGAUGAUAUCUUUUGGCUCAAAACGAAUUAGGUGUAACUUUACCUAUCCAAUUAAAGGUAUCUGAGUCCUCUUUCCAACGCCACGGAGUAUGCCCUUUUCCGAUCUUGGAGUAAAAAAUUAUGCCCAAAAUAGUGAAACACUGUCUAAAAGGACGAGCUUAGACGGGUUUAGUGAAAACUUUAAGUUUAACUUUGUGGGUCCUUAAUUCUUUUCCUAAGUUGAGUCCCUAUUAUUGUUUACCUUUCCUAGCAAUUAUAAAACCCUUUUUGACCAAAAUUCUUCCUAUGAUUAAUUGUUGGUAUAUGGAUGAAUUGAGGAUUGUGGCCUUAUGGGCAAAUUAUGGGUGAAUCACCUUGUGGUGAUAGAAUUGUUGGGAAUUGAGUAAUGGUUGUUAUGGCUUUGGAGGAUGGUAAGUUGACUUAAUCUCAUAUUAUUAGUAGAAUUGUUCUUGAUGAUGAUCCCUUUGAAAGGUGGAGGUGUUUACUUAUUUUGUACAUUGUGACCAUGGCCUUGGAAGCAUAGUAUGAGAAAUUUAAGUGUUACAUGACAUUUUAUGAAUGGACAUUCAAUGGAGCUAGUGUGUUCAUGUUAUGAACGUAAAUGUGUUAUUAUUGAAAAGCUUUUUCUGAAUUUGACACUCAUGAAUGUUGAUGAUAGAAUAUGAAGGAUUCUCCGAUGUAAUGCAUCUCUCGAAUUGGUAGAGCUUGUGCAUCCUUUUCUUCUUUAAAUGAUUAUAUUGUUGGUUGUUGAAUCCUCGAAUUGGUAGGGUAGUAGCACCCCUCCACUCAUGAUAAUAAUGAACCUUGGAAUCGGUAGGCUAAUGGCACCGUUCCGUUAAUGAUAGUAAUGAACCUUGGAAUCGGUAGGCCUAUGGCACCUUUCCAUGAAGGUUAAUGGUGAGACUUGAAUCGGUAGACCUAUGGCACCUUUCCAUGAAGGUUAAUGAUGAGACUUGAACCGGUAGCCCCAUGGCACCCUUUCAAGAGGAGUUAGUGAGCUUUCCUAAAUGAACCUUGAAACGGUAGGUUUAAAGCACCCUUACACAUGUUAAGGAAUGUAAUUUGGAGUUGGUAGGCCAAUGGAACCUCUCAUAUGUGAUAAUGGCAAGGUAAUGAACUAUUCUAUGGGAAUGUAGGCUAAGCACCGAGUGGAUUUGGUUAGAUGGAAACUCCCCAAAUAGUUAGGCAUGAGUUUCAAUGAUCGUCUACCUUAUCCCAUAAACUAUGUGCUUGCAUAGGUAGCUAGUGGAUCCAUUAAGCUAUAUAUUCCAGUCUUCCUUAGGCAAGUAGACCACCUUUUUACGGUGUGGGGACUUAUGACACCGAAUUCCAUGACAAGCUCUCAUGGUUUAUGUCGGUUAAACUCUUACUUCCCAUCAUGUGAGAGUUCAUUAUGGUUUCUUGAUAGGUUCUACAAAGUGUAGGUAGUAGUAUGGGAUGCUACCUAUACAUUGCACGAGUAGGCUUGGAGAGGGUCAUAGUGAGUUUCUCUAAAUCCUAAUGUAUGUGAAAUAAAUGUGCCCUAAAUGGUUUCUUAAAGAAUGUUGGCUCUCAAAUGCUUAAUAUGAGAUGCAUGCUAUACUUGGGUUAUAUUACGAGUUAUUUUCCCUUGUCAUGUCUUAAUUAAUGAUAUACCUCUUAUGUAUGAAUAUUGUGCAAAGGUGAAAGAAAGGAAUGAUAAGUUACCUUAAGUGACCUUAAUGUGGUGCCUUAGUAUGGAUGGUGGUAUGGGACGCCAUCCAUACAUUGCACGAGGUAUAGCAUAAGGGUUUCUUGAGGUGAAGGUCCAAGGUAAAGGUUUUCAUGUUGAUAUUGUUUAAAGGUGAUAUUAUGACUUACUUGAUGUUAUGCUUGUCUUGUAUGUCUUUUAUGCUAUUGUUCAUGAUAUUUCAAAAAGGUGGCAUAAUGCAUGGUUUCUAACUAAAAUGUCCCUUUUAAAGCAUAUUUUGCAUGGUCAUCAUACUUAGUACUUAAUUGUGCUAAUUCCAUAUUUCUCUAUUUUCUACUAGUGUAGGUUCCGGAAAGUGAGCGGGUUCUAUAGUAAGCUUGGAACUUGAAGUUCUUCCAAGAUCUUGUGGUAUGUCCUCAUAUGUCGAGGACAAGACUUUUCUAUUCUAAUUUUAUGAUAAGGUUCUUGCAAUAGACUUAAUAGACUUCUUUUGAUUGUAAAGGGCCGUGUCCCUACUUAUGUUUUUGUUUGUGUCUAAGAUGGCCAUGUGAGACUUAGACUUCCGCUGUGUGUUUUUAAAGUUGUUUUAAGAAGUUUAAAUGUGUGGAUGUAAAUAAGUUUUUUUAUUAUUCCGCACUAUUUUCAUUAUUGAAUGCAAUGAAUGACUAUGUGGCUCGUAUAAGACCCCUUCGGGGUCGAAUACGCCAUGUUACGACUAGGGGGUACCCUCGGGUCGUAACAGAGGCAUUCUCUUUUAUCUCAUUCAACACUCUGUCGUGUUCUUCGACUUUUGUGGAAAAUGAGUGAGAGAAUCUCUUCUACUUGUCCAACCUCAUACUCCUUGGACUUUCUACCCUCAUAAGGGGGAAUGUACCGAUCUUUAUUUUUUUAUGGUACCUCCAAUUCCAUAAUCUGUUUGGCCACGAGAUCCAGCUGAGUCAGCAUUGUGGCCAAAAUAUGGUCCUUCUUAGUCUCUUUGUUGGUCUUGGCCAUGUGAUUAAGGAGUUGGGCUGCUAUUGCAUAGGGUAGUCGUGUAAGACCACCCGGAGAAAUUUGAUCAGCCACUUCUCUGUUCUCCGGACCAAGACCUCUAUAGAAGCAGUCUAGCAGCAUUUUAUCUGAGAUUCCAUGAGCUGGACAUUGCAGUAAUAGUGACUUAAAUCUCAGGCACAACUCAUGGAUUGACUCACCCUUCAAUUUCCUGAAACUUAGGAUGUCAUCCCUAAGAAUCAUCAUCCUCAAAUGAGAGUGGUCCAUUUGGUCACCGUUUCUACAAGACAUGCUCCUUUCUUCUAUUCUAAACAAGCAACAUGAGAACCAAGUUCUUCAUGUUUUUACUAUAAGUGUUGGUUCCGGCAAGUGAUCCCUCCUAGCUAGUUUGAAGUGUUGGAUUGCUUUCCUCCAAGACUUGGUAUGUCCUCAUGGAUUCGAGGAUAAGACUUUUAAGUUCUUUUGUUCAUGUAAUAGACUUUUUUAGUUUUGUUUUGAUUGUAAAGGGCCGUGUCCCUACUUAUGUUUUGUGACUGUGUCUAAGAUGGCCAUGUGAGACUUAGACUUCCGCUGUGUGUUUUUAAAGUUGUUUUAAUGAAGUUUAAAUGUGUGGAUGUAAAUAAAGGGCCGUGUCCCUACUUAUGUUUUUGUUUGUGUCUAAGAUGGCCAUGUGAGACUUAGACUUCCGCUGUGUGUUUUUAAAGUUGUUUUAAUGAAGCUUGAAUGUUUGGAUGUAAAUAAGUUUUUAAUUCCUCACUAUUAUCAUUAUUGAAUGCAAUGAAUGAUUAUGUGGUUUGUAUAAGAUCCCUUCGGGGAUGAGUACGCCUUGUUACGACUUGGGGGUGCUCCCGGGUCGUGACAAACAUGGUAUCAGAGCAUAAGAUUUUGGAAAUGGUUUUUAGGAUCAAUGUCUCACAUGCCACGUCUAGUAGAGUCUUGUUCAUCGGUGUGAGUCGCGACACAUCUAUGAGCGAGAGGCUAUAGGACGAUAGAAGUUGCACUUCUUUCAUAUUCUUAAAGUCGUGCCUUAGAGUGUGGUUCUAUAAGUGUUCUUAUCCUUAUCCUUCUCUUGUGUUUAUAGGAUAUGAAUACAAGAGGGAGACCCGCAAGGAGAGUAGGAGAAGAGGAUGUGAAUGAGGAAGUUCCUCCCCAAGUUGUGCAAAAUGGUCAAGGUGUGCAAUGCAAUCAAGUUCCUAUAGGUGAGCAAGAGAAUGAGGUUCCGGUGGUUCCCCCGGAUAUGACUAAUGAAGAGAUUAGGUCGGCUUUCUUAAUCUUGGCCCGAGCCACGGCGGCUCAAGCGACUAGAGAUAUGGGGCCUAGGGUGAAUGCUAAUGAGGGUACUAUGGCUUCUAAGUUGAGAGACUUUGUGAGGAUGAAUCCUCCGGUGUUUCUAGGUUCUAAGGUGGGAGAGGAUCCCCAAGAAUUUUUGGAUGAAGUGUAUAAGGUAGUGAGUGCUAUGGGGGUGACUUCAAGAGAAAAGGCGGAGCUUACCUCUUAUCAAUUGAAAGAUGUUGCCCAAAUUUGGUUCACUCAAUGGAAGGCUAAUAGGCCGGUGGGAGCGGAUCCUAUGGAAUGGGAGGAGUUUAAGGAAGCUUUCCUCGGUAGGUAUUUUCCCCGUGAGAUGAGGGAGUGUAAGGUUGAGGAGUUUAUCAACCUUAGACAAGGCAAUGCGAGUGUGCAAGAGUACUCCUUGAGGUUUACCCAAUUGUCUAAGUAUGCUCCAUCUUUGGUGUCAAACCCUAGGGAUGAGAUGAGUAGGUUUGUGACCGGUGUAUCCGACCUAGUCAAGGAAGAGUGCCAUACGGCAAUGCUCCAUAAUGACAUGAACAUUUCUAGGCUCAUAGUGUAUGCUCAAUCCAUUAAGGAGUCCAAACUUAAGAGGGUGAAUAGGGGUGUGAAGAGGGGUAGAUCGGAUGAGCAAGGUCAAUCUAGGUUCAAGAAAAGGACUCAAGACCAAGAUUCUUCAAGUUCUCCUAAGGUUAACCAAGAAAAAAAUGGUGGAUCUCAAUUUUCUAAACCUACUUGCAUCACUUGUGGCAAGAGGCACUAUGGGAAGUGCCUAGCCGGUACUAAUGGGUGUUAUGGUUGUGGGAAGAAUGAUCACAAGGUGAAAGAUUGUCCUACUCUUACGGCUAGAGGAAGGGAAGCGAAGCAAGCUUCUAAAGAUGGAACGGUUCCUAUCCAUCCAUAUUAUGGUCGUUUCUAUGCUCUCCAAGAUAACAAGGAAAAAGAAGCUAAUCCGAAUAAAGGCGCCGGUAAGUUUUAGUUCCUUAUAGUCAUGAAUAUCUUGAUGAGGUUUCUAUGUUGUUGUUUUUCAUGUUUGCCUUAGUUGGGUUUUCUCCUAAGUGGGGGAUGGUAUGUCGAAUAGCGAGGUUGUUGAGAGUGUUGAUAUCAUUAUCUCGUUCCUUCUAUUCUUACUCAAGCUUGAGACCAAGAGUUCCUAGUAACUUGUUUUAUGUUUUGGAGUCUUGUGUGAAAAUGAGUUUCCAUGGUCUUCUUAUGUUAUGCAUGGUCUAUUUGAAUUCUUGUUAAAUGAUAAAAUGAGUUUUCAUAAAUGUGUUCUUCAUGUUGAUGUGCAUUUAGUUGAGUUGUCUAAAUGCUUCAUUAGAAUAAAUGUUGAACAUGCCUAAAUAUGCUUUAGUGAAAAUUUGCCUAAUUGUGCUUUUGCAAGUAAUUGCAUACUAAGCUUACUGUUUUGUAGUGAGCAUGAAGUGAUUGGAGAAGGAAGUUUCUCCAAAAAAAAAAAAGAGACAGGGGAAGUUUUGAUGCACAAUAAGUUUGUGGAUGUAGUUCCUACUUGCUUGAUUGGUAUGAAGUUUGUUCGAGCCUCUUGAUGUGGAGUUGAUGUUUCCUCCUAUGUUUAUGCAUUUAUGUUGACAUGUUACGAUUGUUGGGCUGCUAGUCUUGAGUUGUUUUUCCCUUAAUGUGUUUAAAGUGUCAUUCGAGGACGAAUGUUCCUUAGUGGGUUAUAAUAUAACAAAUCGGAAAAUGAUAGAAUGAACUUGAGCCUCGACGUUUGGGUUAGUGGGAGCUUAGGUUGAUGUUUAUGCUGUUUUAGAACUUAAAUGAAGCUAAGUAGCAUCCUAGGGUGCAAGAAAAGGCCUAGGCUAGCAAGUUAGCCUAGUGGACUGCCCAGUUGACCAGCCUUUGAGUAAUCCCACUGGAACAGACGGUCAAGUGGCAGAUUUUUAAAGUUACUACUUUUAGGGUCAACUUCAAAUGAUGAUAUCUUUUAGCUCAAAACGAAUUAGGUGGAACAUCACCGAUCCAAAUAAAGGUAUCUGAGUCCUCUUUCCAACGCCACCGAGUUUUCUCUUUUCCGAUCUUCGAUUAAAAAGUUAAGCCCAAAAUAGUGAAGCACUGUCUAAAAGGACGAGCUNNNNNNNNNNNNNNNNNNNNNNNNNNNNNNNNNNNNNNNNNNNNNNNNNNNNNNNNNNNNNNNNNNNNNNNNNNNNNNNNNNNNNNNNNNNNNNNNNNNNGGAAGAAUGAUCACAAGGUGAAAGAUUGUCCUACUCUGACAGCUAGAGGAAGGGAAGCCAAGAAUGCUUCUAAAGAUGGAACGGUUCCUAUCUAUCCAUAUUAUGGUCGUUUCUAUGCUCUCCAAGCUAACAAGGACAAAGAAGCUAAUCCGAAUAAAGGCGCCGGUAAGUUUUAGUUCCUUAUGGUCAUGAAUAUCUUGAUGAGGUUUCUAUGUUGUUAUUUUUCAUGUUUGCCUUAGUUGGGUUUUCUCCUAAUUGGGGGAUGGUAUGUCGAAUAGCAAGGUUGUUGAGAGUGUUGAUAUCAUUAUCUCGUUCCUUGUAUUCUUACUCAUGCUUGAGACCAAGAGUUCCUAGUAACUUGUUUUAUGUUUUAGAGUCUUGUGUGAAAAUGAGUUUCCAUGGUCUCCUUAUGUUAUGCAUGCUCUAUUUGAAUUCUUGUUAAAUGAUAAAAUGAGUUUUCAUAAAUGUGUUCCUCAUGUUGAUGUGCAUUUAGUUGAGUUGUCUAAAUGCUUCAUGAGAAUAAAUGUUGAACAUGCCUAAAUAUGCUUUAGUGAAAAUUUCCCUAAUUGUGCUUUUGCAAGUAAUUGCAUAAUGAGCUUAAUGUUUUGUAGUGAGCAUGAUUUGAUUGGAGAAGGAAGUUUCUCCAACAAAAAAUAAAGAGAAAGGGGAAGUUUUGAUGCACAAUAAGUUUGUGGAUGUAGUUCCUACUUUCUUGAUUGGUAUGAAGUUUGUUCGAGCCUCUUGAUGUGGAGUUGAUGUUUCCUCCUAUGUUUAUGCAUUUAUGUUGACAUGUUACGAUUGUUGGGCUGCUAGUCUUGAGUUGUUUUUCCCUUAAUGUGUUUAAAGUGUCAUUCGAGGACGAAUGUUCCUAAGUGCGUGAUAAUGUAACAACUCGGAAAAUGAUAGAAUGAACUUGAGCCUUGACGUUUGGGUUAGUGGGAGCUUAGGUUGAUGUUUAUGCUGGUUUAGAACCUAAAUGGAGCUAAAUAGCAUCCUAGGAUGCAAGCAAGGGCCUAGACUAGCAAUUUAGCCUAGUGGACUGCCCAGUUGACCAGCCUUUGAGUAAUCCCACUGGAACAGACGGUCAAGGGGAAGAUUUUUAAAGUUACAACUUUUAGGGUCAACUUCAAAUGAUGAUAUCUUUUAGCUCAAAACGAAUUAGGUGGAACAUCACCCAUCCAAUUAAAGGUAUCUGAGUCCUCUUUCCAACGCCACCCAUUAGAAUUAAAAAGAAACCCACCUCCUCCCAAAUAUUUCUCUCUACAAUUCUCCAUUUAAAAAGGUCAAGAACUUGGAGCUAGGGCUUGGUUUGAAGGUGGCUUCUUCAUCAAAUUUCUUGGGGAAUCUUAACAAAGGUAUGGUGACCCUUGAUCCUUGAUUAUCUUUCCUUCAAGGAGUCCAUUAAAAAGGGUUUCAAAAGUCUUCAAAGAACAAAACUUCUAUGUUCUAUUCUAGGUAUGGGUUCAUGGGUAAAAUGUUUUCAAAGUCAUUAUAUUGGUGAAUUGAAGUUCUAUUUAUGAUUUUAAGAUGAUUUUAUAUGGAACUUCUUCAAGAACCCAUGUUUUCAUUAUUGCCAAUGAUUUAAUGUUGAUGAAAUAGUGUUUAGAUCGGAUUGUAUUGUUGAUUUAUAUGGUUUUGUAUAUUUAUUUAUGAUGAAUUGUUGGUAUAUGGAUGAAUUGAGAAUUGUGGCCUUAUGGGCAAGUUAGGAGUGAAUCACCUUGUGGUGAUAGUAUUGUUGGGAAUUGAGUAAUGGUUAUUAUGGCUUUGGAAGAUGGUCAAUUGACUUAAUCUCAUAUUAUUAGUAGAAUUGUUCUUGAUGAUGAUCCACUUGAAAGGUGGAGGUGUUUACUUAUUUUGAACAUUGUGACCAUGGCCUUGAAGGCAUAGUAUGAGAAAUUUAAAUGUUACAUGACAUUUUAUGAAUGGACAUUCAAUGGAGCUAAUGUGAUCAUGUUAUGAAAGUAAAUGUGUUAUUAUUGAAAGGAUUUUUCUCAAUUUGACACUCAUGAAUGUUGAUGAUAGAAUAUGAAGGAUUCUCCAAUUUAUUGCAUAUCUCGAAUUGGUAGAGCUUGUGCAUCCUUUUCUUGUUUAAAUGAUUAUAUUGUUGGUUGUGGAAUCCUCGAAGCGGUAGGCUAGUAGCACCCUUCCAAUCAUGAUAAUAAUGAACCUUGGAAUCGGUAGGCCUAUGGCACCUUUCCAUGAAGGUUAAUGAUGAGACUUGAACCGGUAGGCCCAUGGCACCCUUUAAAGAGGAGUUAAUGAGCUUUCCUAAAUGAACCUUGAAACGGUAGGCUUAAAGCACCCUUCACGUGUUAAUAAAUGUAAUUUGGAGUUGGUAGGCCAAUGGCACCUCUCAUACGUGAUAAUGUCAAGGUAACGAACUAUUCUAUGGGAAUGUAGGCUAAGCACCGAGUGGAUUUGGUUAGAUGGAAACUCCCCCAAUAGUUAGGCAUGAGUUUCAAUGAUCGUCUACCUUAUCCCAUAAACUAUGUGCCCGCAUAGGUAGCUAGUGGAUCCAUUAAGCUAUAUAUACCGGUCUUCCUUAGGCAAGUAGACCACCUCUUUACGGUGUGGGGACUUAUGACACCGGAUUCCAUGACAAGCUCUCAUGGUCUAUGUCGGUUAAAUGCUUACUUCCCAUCAUGUGAGAUUUCAUUAUGGUUUCUUGAUAGGUUCUACAAAGUGUAGGUAGUAGUAUGGGAUGCUACCUAUACAUUGCACGAGUAGGCUUGGAGAGGGUCAUAGUGAGUUUCUCUAAAUCCUAAUGUAUGUGA
RNAcentral lists this long non-coding RNA (12235 nucleotides) under Solanum tuberosum (potato). RNAcentral's name for it is "long non-coding RNA (STUB_LNC006334)". Lineage: Eukaryota; Viridiplantae; Streptophyta; Magnoliopsida; Solanales; Solanaceae. The record is from RNAcentral.